CGGCAGCGCCGCGGUCACCGGCAGCCCAGAAGGACCCCAAGGAGCAGCGGGCAUUGCCUGGAAUGGAGGCACGGACCGUUUGCAGAGGGGCUCAGACAGCAGUUCCCGUUUCUGACCUCCCAGAGCUCCUACACAGCUCCCAGAUAUUGAAUCCCAAGCAGUAUACCUGGGAGAUGCCUCAAAAUCAGAGGUUCAAGCGGGAUGAAGUUUGGAACUUCCCAGGGAGUCAGCUGAAGUGCAGAAGUGAAGGAAAACUUUUGCAGCUUCCCUGGAACCUCUGCUGGCUCCUGACACAGCUGGUGUAAAAGUGGUACCUCUGCAUGGGAAUUUCCACUCUCCAUAAGGCGCUGUCAGGUUAUUCCAGCAGGAAUUCAUCAGGGAACGUGGGGCUGUGGGUGUAACUCACCUGACCUAGCAAAGCUGAUACCAAACCCCAAAUCCAGGCACCCCAAAUCCAGACACCACAUAGAGAACAGUCUCUGUGCUGCCCUGUCAGCUAAAACCCCUGGGCUGGGAAAUUUCAGCAGCCAAAUACAUGGAAUGCUCUAAAUCCCAGCAGCCAGCAUUCCCCAGGGGUACAAUCCGAGUUCCAGGGUGGCAGCUGGCGUCCUUCUCCUGCUGCUGGUGGGACAAA
Melospiza melodia melodia is the source of this 634-nucleotide long non-coding RNA. RefSeq lists it as uncharacterized. The record is from RefSeq and is a predicted model, not a curated record. The transcript has 3 exons. Lineage: Eukaryota; Metazoa; Chordata; Aves; Passeriformes; Passerellidae.